UGGGGAAUAUUGGACAAUGGGCGCAAGCCUGAUCCAGCCAUGCCGCGUGAGUGAUGAAGGCCCUAGGGUUGUAAAGCUCUUUCACCGGUGAAGAUAAUGACGGUAACCGGAGAAGAAGCCCCGGCUAACUUCGUGCCAGCAGCCGCGGUAAUACGAAGGGGGCUAGCGUUGUUCGGAAUUACUGGGCGUAAAGCGCACGUAGGCGGACAUUUAAGUCAGGGGUGAAAUCCCGGGGCUCAACCCCGGAACUGCCUUUGAUACUGGGUGUCUCGAGUCCGGAAGAGGUGAGUGGAAUUCCGAGUGUAGAGGUGAAAUUCGUAGAUAUUCGGAGGAACACCAGUGGCGAAGGCGGCUCACUGGUCCGGUACUGACGCUGAGGUGCGAAAGCGUGGGGAGCAAACAGG
This 404-nucleotide ribosomal RNA is filed under the name uncultured bacterium. Its description in RNAcentral is "partial 16S ribosomal RNA". It matches the Rfam family "Bacterial small subunit ribosomal RNA", at positions 355 to 776 of the family's 1533-position model. RNAcentral also lists the same sequence under 1 other name. The record is from RNAcentral.